Molecule: transfer RNA, 69 nt
Filed under: Promethichthys prometheus
Lineage: Eukaryota; Metazoa; Chordata; Actinopteri; Scombriformes; Gempylidae
Description: tRNA-Pro
Rfam family: tRNA
About the family: Transfer RNA (tRNA) molecules are approximately 80 nucleotides in length.
Source: RNAcentral
CAAGGAAUAGUUUAAUCAGAACCCCGGCUUUGGGAGCUAGUAGUAGGAGUUGAAAUCUCUUUUCUUUGA